UAGCAACAAGAUUCUCUGCAACUGCAAUUGACCUUGAAUCUUCAUGACUUAUCUACUUGGAAGAUCAGCAGAAAUCAAUAUAGAACGGUAAUAUUAAACAACAAUUUACCAUGAUCUUGCUUCUGGGUCUCCUUAUAUCCAUCCAAGACUGAUCCUUUCCGCACCAAUUCAGUUUAAUCUUUCUUCUUGUGGCUUAAAUGUCUCUGGUUACUACAUGAUGCAAUUCAUGUCAGUGGUGUGCUUCAAAUUUGGUUUCACUUCAGUCAGAAUGAGGGAUUGGUCGGUGGGAGUCUCCAUUAUGGUUCUUACAUUAAUAUUCAUCAUCCGUUUUGAACAAUCUGAUCACAAGUUUUCAACGAGUCACACUGCGGAUAAUUCUAGUAGAAGGAGAGAGUGUUCAUGAACCAGCAAAGAAGCCACAAUUUAUGACUUUGAUAAUAUCUUUUCAAGCAAAAGCUUUUUAGGAGGAGGAGAAGAGUACAAUUUGGAUUGCUUUAAAAAAACAUAAAAAA
Arabidopsis lyrata subsp. lyrata is the source of this 512-nucleotide long non-coding RNA. RefSeq lists it as uncharacterized. NCBI's taxonomy places the organism in Eukaryota, Viridiplantae, Streptophyta, Magnoliopsida, Brassicales, Brassicaceae. The record is from RefSeq and is a predicted model, not a curated record. The transcript has 3 exons.